GAUCCUGGCUCAGGACGAACGCUGGCGGCGCGCCUAACACAUGCAAGUCGAACGAGCGAGAGGAGGUUUACUUUCUCAAGCGAGUGGCGAACGGGUGAGUAACGCGUGAGGAACCUGCCUCAAAGAGGGGGACAACAGUUGGAAACGACUGCUAAUACCGCAUAAGCCCACGACCCGGCAUCGGGUAGAGGGAAAAGGAGCAAUCCGCUUUGAGAUGGCCUCGCGUCCGAUUAGCUAGUUGGUGAGGUAAUGG
RNAcentral lists this ribosomal RNA (253 nucleotides) under uncultured bacterium. Its description in RNAcentral is "partial 16S ribosomal RNA". It matches the Rfam family "Bacterial small subunit ribosomal RNA", at positions 15 to 263 of the family's 1533-position model. The record is from RNAcentral.